UUACGGCCAUAUUACAUUGAAACACUGGUUCUCAUGUGAUCACUGAAGUUAAGCAACAUUGAGCUUGGUCAGUAUCUAGAUGGGUGACUGCUUGGGAAUACCAGGUGAUGUAA
RNAcentral lists this ribosomal RNA (113 nucleotides) under Acanthosepion pharaonis. The record is from RNAcentral. Lineage: Eukaryota; Metazoa; Mollusca; Cephalopoda; Sepiida; Sepiidae.